GCCCCUGUAGCUCAGUGGAUAGAGCGUCUGCCUCCGGAGCAGAAGGUCGUAGGUUCGAAUCCUGUCGGGGGCG
Molecule: transfer RNA, 73 nt
Filed under: Brachybacterium sp. UMB0905
Lineage: Bacteria; Bacillati; Actinomycetota; Actinomycetes; Micrococcales; Dermabacteraceae
Rfam family: tRNA
About the family: Transfer RNA (tRNA) molecules are approximately 80 nucleotides in length. Their secondary structure includes four short double-helical elements and three loops (D, anti-codon, and T loops).
Source: Rfam by way of RNAcentral